Molecule: ribosomal RNA, 254 nt
Filed under: uncultured bacterium
Lineage: Bacteria
Description: partial 16S ribosomal RNA
Rfam family: Bacterial small subunit ribosomal RNA
Source: RNAcentral
UACGGGGGGGGGCAAGCGUUGUUCGGAAUUACUGGGCGUAAAGGGCUCGUAGGCGGCCAACUAAGUCCGACGUGAAAUCCCCAGGCUUAACCUGGGAACUGCGUCGGAUACUGGAUGGCUUGAAUUCGGGAGAGGGAUGCAGAAUUCCAGGUGUAGCGGUGAAAUGCGUAGAUAUCUGGAGGAACACCGGUGGCGAAGGCGGCAUCCUGGACCAACACUGACGCUGAGGAGCGAAAGCGUGGGGAGCGAACAGG